RNAcentral lists this ribosomal RNA (712 nucleotides) under Pontibacillus sp. TJ1-5. RNAcentral's name for it is "bacterial SSU rRNA". It matches the Rfam family "Bacterial small subunit ribosomal RNA", at positions 92 to 790 of the family's 1533-position model. Lineage: Bacteria; Bacillati; Bacillota; Bacilli; Caryophanales; Bacillaceae. The record is from RNAcentral.
CGAGCGGCGGACGGGUGAGUAACACGUGGGCAACCUACCCAUGAGAUCGGGAUAACUCCGGGAAACCGGAGCUAAUACCGAAUAACCCAGUGAACUGCAUGGUUCACUGGUAAAAGGCGGUUUCGGCCGUCACUCAUGGAUGGGCCCGCGGCGCAUUAGCUAGUUGGUAAGGUAACGGCUUACCAAGGCAACGAUGCGUAGCCGACCUGAGAGGGUGAUCGGCCACACUGGGACUGAGACACGGCCCAGACUCCUACGGGAGGCAGCAGUAGGGAAUCUUCCGCAAUGGACGAAAGUCUGACGGAGCAACGCCGCGUGAACGAUGAAGGUCUUCGGAUCGUAAAGUUCUGUUGUUGGGGAAGAACAAGUGCCAGAGGAAAUGCUGGUACCUUGACGGUACCCAACCAGAAAGCCACGGCUAACUACGUGCCAGCAGCCGCGGUAAUACGUAGGUGGCAAGCGUUGUCCGGAAUUAUUGGGCGUAAAGCGCGCGCAGGCGGUUCCUUAAGUCUGAUGUGAAAGCCCACAGCUCAACUGUGGAGGGCCAUUGGAAACUGGGGAACUUGAGUACAGAAGAGGAGAGUGGAAUUCCACGUGUAGCGGUGAAAUGCGUAGAGAUGUGGAGGAACACCAGUGGCGAAGGCGACUCUCUGGUCUGUAACUGACGCUGAGGCGCGAAAGCGUGGGUAGCAAACAGGAUUAGAUACCCUGG